UUUCAGCUAGUGAGGAAGGCGGGUACGUUAAUAGUCGUGCUCGUUUGACGUUUAGCUGCAGAAGAAGCACCGGCUAACUCCGUGCCAGCAGCCGCGGUAAUACGGAGGGUGCGAGCGUUAAUCGGAAUUACUGGGCGUAAAGCGCAUGCAGGUGGUUGUUAAGUCAGAUGUGAAAGCCCGGGGCUCAACCUCGGAAUUGCAUUUGAAACUGGCAGACUAGAGUCUUGUAGAGGGGGUAGAAUUUCAGGUGUAGCGGUGAAAUGCGUAGAGAUCUGAAGGAAUACCAGUGGCGAAGGCGGCCCCCUGGACAAAGACUGACGCUCAGAUGCGAAAGCGUGGGGAGCAAACAGGAUUAGAUACCCUGGUAG
RNAcentral lists this ribosomal RNA (368 nucleotides) under uncultured bacterium. Its description in RNAcentral is "bacterial SSU rRNA". It matches the Rfam family "Bacterial small subunit ribosomal RNA", at positions 434 to 793 of the family's 1533-position model. The record is from RNAcentral.